UAGAGGCAGGCACCAACUCUGGGCACUGCCACCUGCAUUAGGUCUUGUGUUUGAUGUGCUCUUGUGAAUUUACUUUGUCAGAACAAAAUAUUUGCAAGUUGGAUUCAGGAAUCUCUCCUUUUAGCUUCUGAUCUGGCUAUGAAAUUCAGGAAACCUGUUCUCCCAUUGCCUAGUAAUCACCCCAUGUAGGUGUAAAUUGUGACAAAGUAGAUCUGACCCCUAAGGGACCCCCAGGGUGACCCCCC
Long non-coding RNA from Sapajus apella (tufted capuchin), 245 nucleotides. RefSeq lists it as uncharacterized. Lineage: Eukaryota; Metazoa; Chordata; Mammalia; Primates; Cebidae. The transcript has 3 exons. The record is from RefSeq and is a predicted model, not a curated record.